GGAUGUGAGGGUGAUCUGGCUGUGACAUUUGUCACCACAUUGAUCCCCAGGGUUGAUUGGGCUGAUCUGGCUGGCUAGGUGGGUGGCCCCUUCCUUCUACACAGCUCCGUGUGCAUCCCUCCUGAAGCUGUGUGCUUGGUCGAAGAAGAUGAUCUUCCCCAACAGAGGAGGACCUUUCCUUGUUCACAGGUGUACAAGUAGCUCCUGCUAGAACUUCCAAACAAGGUUCAUUUGUAGGAGAAUAUAGAACAGUCAAGACUCCCAGACUUCACAUCCAGAAUGAGGUGUUGCAUUUGGCAGUUUCUGCUUUUU
Molecule: unclassified non-coding RNA, 312 nt
Organism: Nomascus leucogenys (northern white-cheeked gibbon)
Lineage: Eukaryota; Metazoa; Chordata; Mammalia; Primates; Hylobatidae
Gene: 7SK
Rfam family: 7SK RNA
About the family: 7SK was discovered as an abundant small nuclear RNA in the mid-70s but a possible function has only recently been suggested. Two independent studies have found that 7SK RNA binds the CDK9/cyclin T complex (known as elongation factor P-TEFb).
Source: Ensembl